Molecule: ribosomal RNA, 506 nt
Filed under: uncultured bacterium
Lineage: Bacteria
Description: partial 16S ribosomal RNA
Rfam family: Bacterial small subunit ribosomal RNA
Source: RNAcentral
AGUGAACGCUGGCGGUAGGCCUAACACAUGCAAGUCGAACGGCAGCACAGGAGAGCUUGCUCUCUGGGUGGCGAGUGGAGGACGGGUGAGGAAUACAUCGGAAUCUACUAUGUCGUGGGGGAUAACGUAGGGAAACUUACGUUAAUACCGCAUACGACCUACGGGUGAAAGCAGGGGACAUUCGGGCCUUGCGCGAUUGAAUAAGCCGAUGUCGGAUUAGCUUGGUGGCGGGGUAAAGGCCCACCAAGGCGACGAUCCGUAGCUGGACUGAGAGGAUGAUCAGCCACACUGGAACUGAGACACGGUCCAGACUCCUACGGGAGGCAGCAGUAGGGAAUUUUGGGCAAUGGGCGCAAGCCUGAUCCAGCCAUACUGCGUGGGUGAAGAAGGUCUUCGGGUUGUAAAGCCCUUUUAUUAGGAAAGAAAUCCAGCUGGCUAAUACCCUGUUGGGAUGACGGUACCCAAAUAAUAAGCACCGGCUAACUUCGUGCCAGCCGCCGCAGUAA